GACGAACGCUGGCGGCGCGCUUAACACAUGCAAGUCGAGCGAUGAAAUUUCGACAGAUCCCUUCGGGGUGAAGCUGAAAUGGAUUAGCGGCGGACGGGUUAGUAACACGUGAGUAACCUGCCUUUUACAUUGGGAUAGCCCCGGUAAACUGGGAUUAAUACCAACUGACACUACCUUAUCACAUGAUCAAUUAGCUAAAGAAAUUCGGUCAAAGCUGGACUCAAGGCUGAUUAGCUAAUUGGGGAGGUAACGGCACACCCAGGGGGCGACCAAUAGCCGGGAAGAGAGGCUGGGCGCAGACUCUGAAGCGGGGACACAGUCCGAACUCCUACGGGAGGGAGCAGUGGGGAAUAGAGCACAGUGGGGGGAACCAUGAUGCAGCGACGAUGCGUGAGCGAAGAAGGCCUGCGGGAAGUAAAGCUCUUUUAUGAGGGAAGAUAAUGACGGUACCUCAAGAAAAAGCCCCGGCUAACUACGUG
This 479-nucleotide ribosomal RNA is filed under the name uncultured bacterium. Its description in RNAcentral is "partial 16S ribosomal RNA". It matches the Rfam family "Bacterial small subunit ribosomal RNA", at positions 28 to 507 of the family's 1533-position model. The record is from RNAcentral.